RNAcentral lists this ribosomal RNA (403 nucleotides) under uncultured bacterium. RNAcentral describes it as "partial 16S ribosomal RNA". It matches the Rfam family "Bacterial small subunit ribosomal RNA", at positions 28 to 526 of the family's 1533-position model. The record is from RNAcentral.
GACGAACGCUGGCGGCGUGCCUAAUACAUGCAAGUCGAACGCAGUGGGGACGGGUGAGUAACACGUGGGAACCCUCCCAUCAGAGGGGAUAACACUUGGAAAAUGGUGCAAAACCGAUACUGAUGGAUGGACCCGGGGUGCAUUAGCUAGUGGGUGGGGUAACGGCUCACCAAGGCAACGAUGCAUGGCCGACCUGAGAGGGUGAUCGGCCACACUGGGACUGAGACACGGCCCAGACUCCUACGGGAGGCAGCAGUAGGGAAUCUUCGGCAAUGGACGAAAGUCUGACCGAGCAACGCCGCGUGAGUGAAGAAGGUUUUCGGAUCGUAAAACUCUUUUGUUAGAGAAGCGGUAUCUAACCAGAAAGCCACGGCUAACUACGUGCCAGCCGCCGCGGUAAUAC